This 497-nucleotide ribosomal RNA is filed under the name uncultured bacterium. Its description in RNAcentral is "partial 16S ribosomal RNA". It matches the Rfam family "Bacterial small subunit ribosomal RNA", at positions 28 to 507 of the family's 1533-position model. The record is from RNAcentral.
GAUGAACGCUGGCGGCGUGCCUAAUACAUGCAAGUCGAGCGAACAGACGAGGAGCUUGCUCCUCUGACGUUAGCGGCGGACGGGUGAGUAACACGUGGAUAACCUACCUAUAAGACUGGGAUAACUUCGGGAAACCGGAUCUAAUACCGGAUAAUAUAUUGAACCGCAUGGUUCAUUAGUGAAAGACGGUUUUGCUGUCACUUAUAGAUGGAUCCGCGCCGCAUUAGCUAGUUGGUAAGGUAACGGCUUACCAAGGCAACGAUGCGUAGCCGACCUGAGAGGGUGAUCGGCCACACUGGAACUGAGACACGGUCCAGACUCCUACGGGAGGCAGCAGUAGGGAAUCUUCCGCAAUGGGCGAAAGCCUGACGGAGCAACGCCGCGUGAGUGAUGAAGGUCUUCGGAUCGUAAAACUCUGUUAUUAGGGAAGAACAAAUGUGUAAGUAACUAUGCACGUCUUGACGGUACCUAAUCAGAAAGCCACGGCUAACUACGUG